Centrocercus urophasianus (Greater sage-grouse) is the source of this 7844-nucleotide long non-coding RNA. RefSeq lists it as uncharacterized. The transcript has 3 exons. The record is from RefSeq and is a predicted model, not a curated record. Lineage: Eukaryota; Metazoa; Chordata; Aves; Galliformes; Phasianidae.
CCAGCAUGUGGUUCCACUGCCCGCCACUCACCCAGUCAGUGUAGAAGCCGCCGUACAGCCGGUGCAGGCAGUUGUCGGCGUCGAUGAGGAGGCGCAGCGGUGUCUGCGGGGGCCGCUGCCGCCCCCCCCCCACCAGGCUGCCCCGCGCCAGCUUCUGCAGCUCGACGGGCACCACGGCGCUGGGGCAGUGCUUCUCGAUGUAGUCCUGGAAGCCCUGCACUCCCAUGAAGCUUGCAGACUCUUCGUGUGGAUUAUGUAAAAACAACAACACUUCUGCUGGGACACUUGUCCAGGUUGACUCACCUCCAUCCUUAGUAUGAAAUGCUCACAGAUCUGCCAGUGUGCUCCUGCAGACCCCACAGCCUAUACAGAGCAGCAGAGCUGAGCAGGUAUCAGGUAAGUGCUGGUCUGGCAAGAGGUAACAUUUAAAUGUACACCCACAUUUUAAAAUUAAUGAUUUAAUUUUUUUAGAAGGGUCUGAGAUAUUUGUGCUGUAGCUCUUCUGCCUGACAGAAGGAAUAUUGAUUUACACAGAUUAUUUUCUCUUCAUUUAUCCCUUUAAUGCUGUUUCACAAUGUUUAACCUGUGAUCUCCUCAACUUUAAUGUAAGUCAGAAAAACAAUAGAAAUGUAUUGAAUUGAAUAUUUAUGAAGAAUGCAAGAAAUGAAGAGCUAACCUAUAAAGUUUGUCCCUGGAAAACCCCACUUAAGAAACUUGUGCAAAUUUGUAUGGAGGGGAAAAAAAAAAAAAAAGUAAAUAUUACAUAGUUCUCAGUAAUGAGAGAUUUGUGGUUUCCAGAAGAAUCCAGUUUGGUUCUCCAGAUACUCUCUGCAUAUAGACUGACUUUUGAUCCCCUCCUGCAUAAUACAGCACAGGAGCAUGCCUCUUAAAGUCCUGCAGCAGUUCAGGGCUGUGGGUACCUUUGAUGUGCUGCUCUCCUGGCACAGAGGCAAGUGGGCUUGGUAGCAGUGUGGACAGGAUGGUGGUCCAGGCCAGGCCGACCCACCAGCACGUGGCUGCUGAGCUGCUUGCCCACCUCGCCAAUUGCACCCCCAACUUCUGCUCUAUUAAUAGCCACGUUACAGCCAGAUCAGAAUAUAAGGUCUGGGAUGGGCAGCGCAUGCUGAAAUAGCUUCAGGACUGGGCUGCAGUCAAAAUGAGUCUGUGGUUUUAUUUUUAAACCGGUUAAGCAUAUUUUAAAUUGAAUAAGCAUUGUCAGAACUAAUCAUAUCUCAUACCCAGCGUUCCUCUGAACACUUCAAAUACAUUUCUCCCAGAGCCUCAUCCUGGCCUGCAGCUGAGUGGUUUUGGUGCCAUUGGGCUGACUGACUCAGUGAGGGUCACCCGCUUACCUGCUGGGGAGAAAAAGCCCGUAUCUGCCUGCGUGGUUACCAGGCUAUGGUAACCAGGUAACAGCUUAGCAACUUUGAAAAAAAUAUCAGCAGAGUAACUUUGAAUGGAGGUAGAUGAGCAAUGCUCAGACAGCCUCCCCCAUUCCCCAGCCAUACGCCAGCAGCAUCUCGAGGAGCUGCAGGGCUGCGGCUCACCCACCGCGGCCGUGUGUCCAAGCAGGGCUGUCCCAGGACAGCCAUCCUCCUCCUGUUCCCUUUGUACCAAAACACCAAACCCCACAGCAUGUCUGCAGAGCAUCCUCCCACAAGCUGAUUGUUGUUCUUACACUGUUGUGAACAAGCGUCAGAGCUGCACGUGGAGCUGAAAUCUGGCACCAGUGUGACGUGACACAUCCACCACAGUGAGUGUCCAGCACCAGGCAGCAUGCUCCCCUGAGGGCUGCGCUGCCUGCAGGAAGGGAACUGCAGCACAGAGCUGGGUGUGCCUAAGAAUGAUGGCAUUAGUGCAAGUGCUGCUCACUUCGUUUCAUCUCACACAGCUGAAAAAUACUUCACAGUUUAAUUGUUUUGCUUAGGUAUUAUUCUAGCAAUCUUAAAGAUUACCCUUUUUAAAAUUUAUUUAUUUGUUUUUAUUUUUAUGCCACUUCUUUGUCCUCACCACCUGUGCCUUACUGCUGAACGUAUUACUGUGCAGUUAAGGAAUCCCUAAGUGCUAAUGGCACACAAUACUCCCAGAACUCUUUACAGGCAAUUCUCAAAUUCUGCAGUAAAGCUGCAGAUUAUGAGAGCAAAUGCCUACCUCCAUCCACAGACUGGAAGCUUAUCUAAACUGGCAUCUGUUAUGUACUCUGGCAAUUACAAACAUACUUGAAACUAGACGUGUUUGAAAUCUGAAGGAAGACUCAUCUAGUAACAAAAGUGAGAAAUGACAGCCCGGAGCUCAUUAAAAUAAAAGUUUUUAAAAAUAAUGUACUGAAGAUCUUGUGUACUAAAUAACAAAGUGAUUUUAAAUGCCUAUGUAUAAAAAGUGUACAGAAUGAACAGUAAAAUCCUGCCUCCAAUGAGUUCUGUAGGAAUUUCACUAGUCAGUGCAAGGGCACCUGGACUCUACCCACGCUCUCUGAGAGUGCUUUUUGUAUUGGCUUAUGUAACAUGGUUCUCUGGCAGAAUUUAAUUAAAGAGAAAUGUGUAAAGCAUUUGGCAUGAAGUAGUCAAAGUUUUUAACAUACACUAUUUAGAAUGAAAUCUAACUUAGAAGCAAAUAACACUAACUUUGUGCAUUUCAAUACGAAUUACUUAAUGGAGAAGCAUUUUUACUGUUAACAAGUAUGUCCUAUAAGAUUUCAUUUUUAAGAUCUAAACAAAUUUAGAGGCUUUCUUUGAAAUGUUGCAAGCUGAAGCAAACUCACUGACUUGACUUUAUCUUUGCUCUCAAUUAUACCACAGUCAACAAUUCUUUACUGUAACUUAAUACUGAAUAAGUGUUCUUGCUGACUGCUGAGAUCAAGUGGGAGGAGGAGCUCGGCAACAGUAGAACUCUGUUACUCGUGCUUUUAUUUACAGCAGCAGUUCAUAUACUUAGUGGUUUUUAUUUUUAGGCAGGAGAAAUAUAAAAUAUCCAUGAGGCUAAAAUUACUGUGUUUGAAGAUUUUUGGUCUGAAAAGUUCUGUGAUUCCCCUCGCAGAGAGGGAACAUCUCUGACUUCUCAAACAAUCUGCAGACUUUCUGAGGCAGAUAGUUUAAGGCAUGUGUUUUGGACUGCACUAACUUAUAAACAUGUACAAUUAACAUAGCUUUCUUGUUAUGGCAUUCAAGUUACCAGAUCAGGAUGAUACAUUAAAAAAGCAUGCAGAUAAGGCAUCAUUUGCCCAAACAUGUCAUCAGAAACUGCCUUUCUGAAGGUAUGUCUCAAGCAGAAGAAUGAAAACAGAUAUAUGAUAUGGUUCUGUUUCAGAGCAGUCAUAGUACCACUAUGAUGCAGACUGCCUUCACGACUUCCUAAACUCAGCACUGACAAAGGGAGACUGAUCUGAAUUCUCAGAAGCGUUAUACUGAACUCUCAGUUUAGUACAAAAAUUCUUGAAAAUAUAUUUGGUGGAGAACUGAGCCCAAGUGACAUUACUGGAGAAAAUAAGGUUUCCUUUGGCAUGGGUCACUGCACCAUGACAGCCUCUGUUCUUUGGAAGUGUCUCUAAAAUAUAUCAGAUUAUUUCUCUCCCUUAUAGUCUCCUCCUAAACAAAAAUAGAAUGAUUCAGCUUCUUCACAAUGCUCAGGAAAAAAAAGGAAGUUAAAAAUAAAUCUCAGUUCCUUUUAGCACACAGACCACAGCUGUCUUUUUACCUUUAAGGAUAAAGCACGCUGGUCCCAUUGCCCUCUUCAAGGCAGCAGGGUUAUCACAGGACGGUUUUUUGCUAUUUGAGGGGCUGUUCCGAGUUAAUCGGUGCUUACAGCAAGGAGAACUUCAGCAGUGGUAGAGAAGCUGGGCAUCUUUGCUGCCUGCAGGACUACCACAACAUGUCUGACUCCAUCACCAGAGAGCUGGCAUAUAAAUGGAAUGAAAAAUUCACUGAAAUGCUUUGAUGUUACAUACGAAUCUGAAAGGAGUAGGAGAGUUUGUUUUUAAAAGGAAAUUAAUGAAAGACCUAAAGAUAUGCAAAAUAAUGGGUGGUAUAAAAGAAGAUAGGGAAAUUCUUGUUUUUCUCCCAAGGUAAGGAACCCGGGCAUUCACAAAGGGAGGUAUAUUAUGCAAAAAACAAAGCAAAACACAAAAGAACCCAUUCCCUGUUUGAUUUCACACCGUGCCGUUGCUGCCAAGCCUGCCACCUGACUGGGCACAGCCACACCGGGGACCCCAAAGCAGCUCUGCUUACUGCUGCCUGAUCGCAGUCACCGCAGGUCGCAGCCAUGAGAUGUUGCUGCGCUGAAAGCUCAUGACUCGAAGUGAAAGACUUUGCAGGAGUUAAAAAAAAAAAACAGUGCAGAGAGGUUUUCUCAUCAGAAAGCCUGCUGAAAUUAUGCCAUUUUCCUUGGAGGAAGUCCUGUGUACAUGAGGAAUUGAUAUCUACCAACGGCCGUGGCAGAAUAUUUCUGAGGAAGCACCUUGUUCAUAUUUUGGCAGCACGAGAGUGUUGGUUUUUUUUCCCAGUUGCAAAAGUUGCUCCACCUGCCACAAAGCCAAUGGUUCCAGCCUGCCGCCCUCAUUCCAUGGUGUGUGGUGCUGGGGUGAGCACCUUCCAUUGCGGCACAAAUCAAACCUAUCCCUGUGCACCUGGGGCCGAGCACGUGUGUGAGCCAUCGUGCCAGGACCGUGGGCCCCCCAGCCAAGGGACCGUGGGGCACACUGCUCACCACAUCCCAUCUCCCUGCCUUAGUUCAGCACAGCUGAUUUUUCUUUUCUGCUCUUUUAUUUAUUUAUUUACUUAUUGCUAUCCAUUGUAGGAAUAAGAAAAAAAGGAAUAUGAUUCCUUAAAGGAUACAUCCAAUGGAAAAAAACAAACUCAACUCUAAAAUGACUAUUUCAGUGAUGACUUGUAAUCUGUGCAGCUUCAUCUACUUGAUAAUACCCAGCUUAGCGUUAGAUCUAAAAAAAGAAUGAAAUGAGAAAAUCAUUCCUUUGAUAUGCAUUAAAUUAUUCAGUUAGUAAAUUAGUGAAUCUUAUUCUGAGUGUUAUUAGCUAUUAGCAUGUUACACUUCUUGAUGUUGUUUAUGAAGAAUGCAUAUGAAAAUGAGGAAAAGAUUUCCCUUUUGAAGUUGUUGCCACUUGAAUUGUUGACAUUUCUCUUAAUUGGUGGCUGUCCUCUUGAAUGCAAUAUUCUGCUGUCUGUUUUUGUGAGAUUCCUAAUUUUUAAUUUCUCCUCUCGUUGAGUAGACUUUUCUUUUUUUCUUUUUGAACGAGUAACUAUCAAAAUAAUUAGCCUUUUUCGAGGUAACCACGUUCUCCUAAGAUAUUUAUUAAUGAGUGUUUUCCCCACUCAGUAUACUUAGGCUUUUUUCAUUAGAAUUCCAAGGUCGCCUGUGGGCCGGUCGAACCACACCUGGUACCACUGCAGGCAGCAGGAACUGUGCUGUAGAUUUCAGGAGGAACAAAAUUAGUCCCUAGGAAUUAAAAAAGAGCUUGGCCUUCAGUUUGUAUUAGAAAUAUGCCUAUUAUGUAGGAAAACCUGCAAACAUUUCUUCAGGCUCCAGAGUAGGGUUGAGGAGGGAGUGAAAGCUGGGGAAGGACAGCAAAGUAAAUCGAUCAGAACAAGGACACUGCCUUUAAAGGACCUGUUGUUUUCAGCCACGGGGCCAGCAAGCCUCCGUUACACCGCUGGAUCUCCAGCACUGGAGAUGUGUACCUCUCUUUUAUUUAAAGUCAGUACAGGUUAGAUAAAAUUGAAUCCAUUCAAAAUAACAGUCCUUCUGCAUAAGAAGUUAUUUUCUAAUGUAGAAUCAAGGAACUGCAAUUUGAAUGUAUUUUGUUUUAGAAAUGAUUGACCAUCUUGCACUUGCAACUAAAGAGCACAGCAGAUAACAAAGCUCUCUGGAAUGUUAUAUGUUGCUGCAGUGAUCUAAUCCCACUCUGUUCCUGUUUGGCUUCUAUAAACCUUCUUUUCCCUUUCCUUGCUCUUGUCUUUAACCUCAAAAUCUGCCUCGCACGUUGCCAGCUGUUCUCUUCCUGCUGAAAUGCAAUCUCAUUUUGGCAUGCUAGGCUCUCUCCUGCCUAGUUGCUCUUUCAAAACAGGCUGAACAUCAUCACCCUUUUGCUUCCUCCGCCUCCCUGCCUCCUCCUGGUCUCUCUCCCUGCUUCCUUGACCCUUCAUCUUUAAGGAGCCUUCAACACAAAUGUAAAUUCACUCACCAUUCCUAGACAGUCUUCCGUUCCAACUAAAACCUCAACUUGCGUCCUGGCAUACCUUCUUGCUACUCUCUUCAACCUUCUUUUAGUUUGUGCUCCCCUGUCACCUGAACAAAUUCCAGUUCUUCGCUUUUCCAGCAAGACCAGCCUCCUCCAGCUCCCUCUUUUCCUGAUAGCCACUGGCGCUACCUCCAGCCUGAGAGCUCACGCUCACAUCAGCUAUGAAGCUGCCUCCUGACCUUACUUAAACACAUCGACAUCACCUUUCAGAUUGAAAAUCAAUAUGGAAAUAGGAAAAACAGAAGGAAAAAACAAACAAACAAACAAACAAACAAUUAAAAAAAAAAAAAAGCAAGAUAAUCCAGUGUGGGUGCUUAUAUACAGCUGACCCCAAACCGUUACAGAAUCAUAUCUUACAGGGAAGCUUCACUUUGGAGAAAAGCAAUGUUUAUAGAGAAUUAUUGUAUUUUGUACAAUGCUACUGAGGUAGCUAUUAAAAGUUGUAUGUUGUAGUCUAAAAUACUGCAGUGCGGCUCACAGAAGAGCCAGCACGGGCUGUGAAGCGGCCUUACAUGGUGAUCUAUUUCUGCCAGAAUAUAAUAUAAGCUAUUUCAAGAACCCAUUUACAAGUAAGCUGCCUGGGUAGAACCCUGCCUCACUGAAAUCAAUAGGAGUUUUGCCAGUGACAUCAGUGGAAUGAGGUUUUCCUCUCAUUUUUAGCUUGUGCAAAAUUAAAUAUUGGGUCAGGAAAACUGUUAGUUCUAUUGCAUGCAAGUGCCAGUGAUUUUAAACACAGCAUUUGCUUAGGAGGAUUACUAAAUGGAAUUUGCAAAGUGAUUUGUUAAUGGAAGUUAUUUUGUUAAUUCAUCCAGAUUUCCUCCUUGGUUGAAGUGCUUGAGCAUACCUCUUCUGCACCAGUAAGAGCUGUGUGCUGCAACUGCUGGCCUUCAGCUGGGAGAGCGCCGUGCUUCCCUUCCCAAUGGAAGAGCAACAAAAGUGGCACUUAAUAGUACAAAUUCGUAGCUUAAGAGGUUUGCAAGCAUCUAAGUGCUGCAUGUGCUAUGAUCAUUUAUCUUUGAACUUGUUGGUAACAAAGCGUAAUUAACAAGUAAGCUGUAGGAACAUGCAAUUGCUGCGUAUUUACAUGAUAUGUGCCAGGCAUUGUGGUGUAAUCACAGAGUCUAUACCUGCUCUGUAGAAUGAGGUGCAUGGUGCACAGUGUGCUCUAUUUUAUAGUAUUUCCCACAGCCGCCCAGUGAAGCAGAGCACAGCACAGCAGGGUUUAACGACACGCUUUGCUCCAGUGGAGGCAAUCCCUGAGGAUGGAGCUACACAGACCUGCACCCAGCACCGGCAUUUUGGCAUCACCGUGUGUCCUGCUCGCUUGGGUGGCAAUGCACAUGGAGCUCAGGUUACUUAUGCUUUGGAUUGCUGCUCUUUCAGUGAUAUAAAUGGAGUCGACUAUGCAGUAGGGCAAUUUUUUUCCUCUCACGUAUAACAUGAUGCAUCUGUAUAAUAAUUACAGGUAAAAGAAUGCAUGAAAAGAAACUAUUUCCUAUGAAGCUUUUUAAAAACACAUGCCAGCAUGUGAUGACUUCUUUGCCCUAAAAUUCAUUAGGAUCAGAUUACCAAAUGUGAAGUUGCAUAAUGUAGG